RNAcentral lists this long non-coding RNA (5541 nucleotides) under Zostera marina. RNAcentral's name for it is "long non-coding RNA (ZMAR_LNC003123)". Lineage: Eukaryota; Viridiplantae; Streptophyta; Magnoliopsida; Alismatales; Zosteraceae. The record is from RNAcentral.
AUAACUGAAAUUAGGAUGAAAUUCCUAAAUCAAAAUCUCUCGUCCAGUUGGGUGCGCGGCUCACUCGCGAGCUUCUCCGGAUCGAACCCGGUCCGGCGUCGUUGAACGAACUUCGCUCGUCGUCGGUUUCCAAUUCAGGAACUAGGUCUCCGGCGAUAGGAGAUUCUCUGAUCUUCUCGACAUCUGAUUUCACACCUGCUCCAUCCACCACUAACGCAUCAUCACCUGCCCGUUCAGAAUCGACAUUGCCCCCAAUGUUGAUAGAUGGAAAAAGCUCGUACACAUCCUCCUCGAACUCCCAUGAUGAGUCUUCCGGAAUUGUGCCACUCCAUUUGAUGAGUAACUGAUUUCUCUUUUUUCCUCCCUGUUGGAUCGUUUUUUUAUCUAAUACAGAAAUUGGAUAUAUUAUUGGAUUACUGUUCAGAUACUAAUACUUAAUUGUUGCUCUCUUGCUCUGUAAUUGUGCCACAAAACUUUUUCAGCUUAGAUACAUGAAAGGUUGGAUGUAUUCUACUGCCCUCGGGAAGCUUGAGUCGGUAAGCCACUUCAUUUAUUUUUUUGCUUACUUCAUAAGGGCCGAAAUAUCUUUUACAAAUUUUUUGUGCAAUCUCUGAGCCACAGAACUUUGUCGAUAUGGUUUUAGUUGGACCAAAACCUAAUCACCCUCCUUGUAUGAUGCCUCUGACCUUUCUUUAUCAGCCUGAUUUUUCAUUCUAGUCUGUGCCGUGCUUAGAUUUUUCUUUAUUUUUUCUAAAGUUUCUUCCCUGAUUUGUAGCAUUGUAUCCACUGCUUGUACUGAUGAUUCCCCUUCCUUGUAGUGAGGUAUCUCAUUUGCCUCCUUUCCAUAGAGCACCUUGAAUGGUGUUAAGCCCAAGGCUGAGUGAAAGCUUGAGUUAUGCCAUAACUCCGCCCAAGGUAGUAAUUUUAACCAUAAAUGAGGAUUUUCGUGGCAAUAAGAUCUUAGGUACAUUCCUAGGGUCAUGUUGACCACUUCAUUCUGCCCAUCUGAGUGUGGAUGAUAGGCGGAUGAGAAAUUUAGCUUAGUGCCACUAAGCUUGUUCAACUCCUUCCAAAAUUUUGAAGUAAAUACUCUAUCUCUGUCCGAUACAAUGGAAGCAGAAAUCCCAUGCAAUUUUACUAUAUCCUGAACAAAGCAUUCAGCCACUAUAGAUGCAUUAAAAUUAGUGGGGAGUGGGAUAAAGUGGGCAUAUUUGGAUAACCUAUCCACCACUAUCAUAAUGACCGAAUUUUUCCUUGCUUUGGGAAGGUCUGUUAUAAAAUCCAUGUUAAUGUCUUGCCAAACAUUUGAGGGUAUAGGGAGUGGCAUCAAUAAGCCUGCCAUUUUACUAUUUGUAGAUUUGAAUUGUGGACAUACCAAGCAUUCUUUCACAUACCUUUUUAUUUGUGCACCCAUGUUUGGCCAAAAAAAAUAUUUGGCAAUCCUUUUCCAAGUUCUAUGAAUUCCAGAGUGCCCUCCUAGUUGUGAAUCAUGAAGCUGAAAUAGAAUUUUCUUUAUUAAAGGAGAAUCCUCAGAUAGAUAAUACCUGUUCUUGAAGAAUAAGAUGCUAUUUUUGACUGCAUACCCCACAUAGCAUUUUUCUGUUUCUGUGUAUUUCUCUAUUAGUUCUUUUGUUCUUGCAUUGCCUUCAUUUUCAGUCUUUAGCUCAUCUAAAAUUGUAUAAAUUGGACCAGAUAGAGCUAGUAAAGAGCCAUGUGCUCUCUUGGAGUUUGAAGUGAAUAAUACUUCCUCUUCAAAAUUUCUAGACAAUGCAUAAGCCACUACAUUAUCUUUCCCAGACUUAUAAAUAAUGGAUCAAACACUAACAAUUUACACAAGAAUACUUGUUGUUCUGGGGUCUAGAUUGCUUGAGUCAGAAGAUUCUUUAAGCUUUUAUGAUUUGUUUUGAUUAUAAAAUAUGAUCCCAGUAAAUAGUGUCUCUAUUUGCUCACUGCUUGGGUGAUUGCAAAUAUUUCUUUGACAUAUACAGAGGCUACCAUAAUUCUUCCCGACAACUUGCAGCUAAAAAAGUUGAUUGGGUGGGAGUUUUGGCUUAGGACAACACCCACACCAGAUUUACAGGCAUCUAUUUCAACUGUGAAUUCUAGCUCAAAAUCAGGAAAUACUAAAAUAGGAGCUGAAACCAUUGCUGUUUUCAGUUAUUCAAAACUAUUUGUGGCUUCUUCUCCCCAAUGGAAACUAUCUUUUUUCAAUAAAUCUGUCAUAGGGCCUGCAAUUGAAGAAUACCCUCUAAUAAAUCUUCAAUAAUAUCCUGUUAGACCUAAAAAGUCUCUCAAUUUUUUUAGUGCUUUAGGUCUUGGUCAUUCUACCAUUGCCUUGAUCUUUUUAGGGUUUGGAUGCACUCCAUCUACAACAAUGAUAUGUCCCAAAAAUGUCAUUGAGUGUCUACCAAAGGAACACUUAGAUAAUUUGACUAUGAGUUUAUUUGCUCUUAAAAGAUCAAACACUGUCUUUAGAUGCUCUAUGUGGUCGUUUAAUGAAGCACUAUAAAUCAGGAUAUCAUCGAAGAACACAAUCACAAACUUUUUCAGAUAUUUAGAAAAUACAUUAUUCAUUACUGACUGAAACGUAGCUGGAGCGUUUGUCAAACCAAAGGGCAUGAUAAGGAAUUCAAUGUGCCCAUGGUGGGUCCUAAAUGCAGUUCUUUCAGUGUGGUUGGGGUUAACACGGAUUUGGUAGAAUCCAAACCUUAAAUCCAGCUUGGAGCAGAUGGCCGAUCCUUUUAAUUCCCCUAACAAUUCAUCAACUGUGGGAAUUGGAAAUUUGUCCUUAAUGGUAAUUGCGUUCAAGGCUAUAUAAUCUACGCAUAAACGACAACCCUCAUCCUUCUUUUUCACUAACAAAACAGGGGAGGAAUAUGGGCUGGAACUAGGUUUAAUGAUACCUUGUUUCAGCAUCUCAGCAAUCAAUUUCUCAAUCUCAGACUUUUGAAAUUGUGGGUACCUGUAAGGUCGCACAUUUACUGGUUUAUCCCCGGGGUCUAAGUGAAUUGAGUGGAUUCUUUCUCUAGGAAGUGGUAACCCACAAGGGCCUUCAAAUAAAUCACAAUACUCUUGGACUAUCUUUGUAAUCUCUGGAAUUUCAUUUGCUAAUGUGGCAGUGCUCUCUGUACUAUCAAUCCUCUCUAAAUAGCAUAUAUAGGCUUCGUGUGUGGAAGCAACUAAACACUUCAACUGUCCCACAGUUAAUGGGUCAUCAGAAACCCAAGGUAGGCCUUUCCAAACCACUUUCUUCCCAGAUAGACAAAACUCCAUGGUUGAUUUAUCAAAAUCAAAAGUUACAGGGCCAAAAUUUUUUAGGCCUUGAACCCCGAUCACCAUGUUAGAACCAGCCAUGUGAAUGAGAAAUAUAUCCAUAAUAAUGAGUUGGUCUUGGAUUUUUACCUCAAUUCCCUUGCACAUUCUAUCACAUACCAAUUUUUCUCCACUGCCUGUGGACACAUAAAAUGGUGUGAUCAUUAAUAUGGUCAAUUUUAUUGCUGAUGCCACUUCUGCUUGAAUAAAGUUGGAGCUGGACCCAAAGUCUAUUAAGACACUGAUUAACAUUUGAUAAAUCCUUCAACUCUGAGUGUACUUGAGUUGAUAUUUCCCUCGAAAGUAUGGAGAGAUAUUUCUCCACAGCAUCAUUACUUGCUUCAACCACUAUGUUCUCUUCAUAUUCUUGGUCUUCUAUCUCUACUAACUCAAACUGAUCAGCAAACAACCGAAACAAUUUACCUUUUCUGCCCACACACACAUUAUUAUGACUAGCAGAGAACUUUUCAUCGCAGUUAAAACAGAGGCCUUUGCUUCUUCUAUCUGCUCUCUCAGUAGCUGACAAUCUCUUUGUGGUAGAAAGUUCUGUGAUUGUUGGGCUUGUGUUGCCAAUGCUUAAUUCAGAUUUGUUCUGAUGAGGUGUAGUUACCGAAUAGUUUUUAGUGAAAGGUUUAUGAGCGCAAGGCUUGUAAGUAGGUGCUUUACUUUACCCACCUCUUCUUGUCUCAAUCAUUAGUGACAUCUCGAAUGCUUCGUGGAUGUCAUUAGGUUUCCCCAAAAUUACAUCAGCCUGGAUUUCUUCUUUCAACCCCGAUAUGUACAUCUCAAAUAUAAAAUACUCAGGAAGACAAAGAACCCUUGUAGACAUUUCUUGAAACAAAGUCUGAUAUUCUGCCACUGUCCCUUCCUGAAUUAAUUUGCUCAGCUUACCACCGGGCAGUUGAUAGUGUAGUUUGGUAAAUUUCCUUAUGACCUACAAAAUUUGACCAUGUAGAUAACAUAUUGCUUGCUUCUAGCCAAGUAAACCACUUUCUAACAAUGCCAUCCAGAUGGAAUGACACAAUUAAUAAUUUUUUUAUCCUCUGGAACUUUAUUGAAUAUAAAGUAUCGUCUUACUGAAUACAGCCAAUGCUCAGCUUCAGUGCCAUCGAACCUCGGCAUGUUAACUUUAAUAUGUUUUGCUGGAGUAUAGUUUGGAUCUUCUAGUACCGAUAAUGCAUAACUUGGAUUGUCCAGAUCUACUACUGAUUGACAAUAAUUCAUUGAUUUAUCUCCUUGAUCUGGUGGUUGUUUUGGUUGAUUUUCAUUAAUAUUUCCUUCACUUUUUUCAUACAAUUUCUUGUAUAAUUCCUCCACUUGCUUUCCCAACUAUAAGAAAUUAUUGUUAACAGAAUUUCUCAUCUCCUCCAUAUCUUUGAUCUGGUUUAUUUGCAGUGUUUGCAAACAGAGAAAGUCUAGAUUAGAUGACAGGUCUAUAUUAUUUGCCAUCUGCAGAUUAAAAACGAGUUCACUAAGAAAGCACCAAAUGAUACGAGCUAAGUCGAAUCUCUAUAAAUGAAACGAAUUCACCUGUAGACAGAGGUGUUUCAGAUCCGCGAUGUCAAUCACGGGUGUCCGAAGCAGCGAGCGGCGGAGCUAAACUCCUGAUAUUGAGUCUUAGUGUCCUUAAUCGUUUGUUGUUAAGCAGAUUGGUUCUGGGCUCAAUUCGGCAAGAGGCAGUAGCUGAUUUCGAUGCGGUGUGAUCGUGAUCGAGAGAAUCAGAGGACGAGAUCAGGGAGUGGAGUUGAAGAUGGUUGAAGAAAAUGCCAAAGUUGGAUGGAUGAAUGUAAGAGUUGUAACAUUAAAAUUCAUUAAGAAAAUAAAACGUUUUCAGAAUUCUAUUUAUUCCUAUUACAGACUUUGGAAUUUUAAAAUAUUUCAGGGUCAUUUAGCAAUUAUCCUCAUAACUGAAAUUAGGAUGAAAUCCCUAAAUCAAAAUCUCUUGUCCAGUUGGGUGCGCGGCUCACUUGCGAGCUUCUCCGGAUCGAACCCGGUCCGACGUCGUUGAACGAACUUCGCUUUUCAUACCUGCUCCAUCCACCACUAACGCAUCAAAAUCCCAUCAAAACCUUGUUAAACCAAUGAGUGAGAGACGUGCCGGCGAGAUUGGAGACCGGAGUGGCCGGAAGCACGCGAGUGCUGGGAGCGGGAAAUUUGGGGGAACUUCUAGGGUUCCUCGAACUAACGGAACCUAGAAGUUAGUUGGAGGAUUAAGAGAGAGGAGAUUAC